AGCCCUGACCCUGCAGCUCUGAGAGCAGAGCCCAGCCCCCGAAUUCUCAGGUGUUUUCAUUUGGUGAUCAGCGGCAAACACAGAAGACUCACCAUGGAGUUUGUCCUGAGCUGGGUUUUCCUUGCUGCUAUUUUAAAAGGUGUCCAGUGUGAGGUGCAGCUGGUGGAGUCUGGGGGAGGCUUGGUCCAGCCUGAGGGGUCCCUGAGACUCUCCUGUGCAGCCUCUGGAUUCACCUUCAGUGACCACUACAUGAGCUGGGUCCGCCGGGCUCCAGGGAAGGGGCUGGAGUGGGUCGGCCAUAUUAAAAACAAAGCUAACAGUUACACGACAGAAUACGCCGCGUCUGUGAAAGGCAGAUUCACCAUCUCAAGGGAUGAUUCAAAGAACACACUGUACUUGCAAAUGAACAACCUGAAAACCGAGGACACAGCCGUGUAUUACUGUGCUAGAGACACAGUGAGGCGAGGUCAGUGUGAGCCCAGACACAAACCUCCCUGCAGGGGCGCGCGGGGCCACCAGGGGGCGCUCCGGACCCACUGA
Non-coding RNA from Piliocolobus tephrosceles (Ugandan red Colobus), 540 nucleotides. NCBI's taxonomy places the organism in Eukaryota, Metazoa, Chordata, Mammalia, Primates, Cercopithecidae. The record is from the annotation of a RefSeq genome assembly.